UCGAGAAUCUUUCGCAAUGGGCGCAAGCCUGACGAAGCGACGCCGCGUGCAGGAUGAAGGUCUUCGGAUUGUAAACUGCUGUCUUCCGGGAUCAAGGAACCACCAUUAACACCGGUGGAACCGGAUAGUACCGGAGGAGGAAGCCACGGCUAACUCUGUGCCAGCAGCCGCGGUAAUACAGAGGUGGCAAGCGUUGUUCGGAUUUACUGGGCGUAAAGGGUGCGUAGGCGGUCUUGUGUGUCGGGUGUGAAAUCCCACGGAUUAUCUGUGGAACGGCAUUCGAAACUGCAGGGCUUGAGUGUAGGAGAGGAGAGCGGAAUUCUUGGUGUAGCGGUGAAAUGCGUUGAUAUCAAGAGGAACGCCGGUGACGAAGGUGGCUCUCUGGACUACUACUGACGCUGAGGCACGAAAGCUAGGGGAGCAAACA
RNAcentral lists this ribosomal RNA (427 nucleotides) under uncultured bacterium. Its description in RNAcentral is "bacterial SSU rRNA". It matches the Rfam family "Bacterial small subunit ribosomal RNA", at positions 355 to 774 of the family's 1533-position model. The record is from RNAcentral.